UACAGAGGUGGCAAGCGUUGUUCGGAAUUACUGGGCGUAAAGGGCGCGUAGGCGGCUUGGUCAGUCCCGUGUGAAAUCCCUCGGCUCAACUGAGGAACUGCACGGGAAACUGCCUGGCUUGAGUUCGGGAGAGGAAAGUGGAAUUCCUGGUGUAGCGGUGAAAUGCGCAGAUAUCAGGAAGAACACCAAUGGCGAAGGCAGAUCUCUGGGCCGUAACUGACGCUGAGGAGCGAAAGCAUGGGGAGCGAACAGG
RNAcentral lists this ribosomal RNA (253 nucleotides) under uncultured bacterium. RNAcentral describes it as "partial 16S ribosomal RNA". It matches the Rfam family "Bacterial small subunit ribosomal RNA", at positions 524 to 776 of the family's 1533-position model. The record is from RNAcentral.